Molecule: ribosomal RNA, 448 nt
Filed under: uncultured bacterium
Lineage: Bacteria
Description: bacterial SSU rRNA
Rfam family: Bacterial small subunit ribosomal RNA
Source: RNAcentral
CCAGACUCCUACGGGAGGCAGCAGUGGGGAAUAUUGGGCAAUGGGCGCAAGCCUGACCCAGCAACGCCGCGUGAAGGAAGAAGGCUUUCGGGUUGUAAACUUCUUUUAAGAGGGAAGAGCAGAAGACGGUACCUCUUGAAUAAGCCACGGCUAACUACGUGCCAGCAGCCGCGGUAAUACGUAGGGGGCAAGCGUUAUCCGGAAUUAUUGGGUGUAAAGGGUGCGUAGACGGAAGAACAAGUUGGUUGUGAAAUCCCUCGGCUCAACUGAGGAACUGCAACCAAAACUAUUCUCCUUGAGUGUCGGAGAGGAAAGUGGAAUUCCUAGUGUAGCGGUGAAAUGCGUAGAUAUUAGGAGGAACACCAGUGGCGAAGGCGACUUUCUGGACGAUAACUGACGUUGAGGCACGAAAGUGUGGGGAGCAAACAGGAUUAGAUACCCGAGUACC